GGGGGCGCCGGUGGCUAAUCCAUGGCAAGUCGAACGGAAUCUUAGGAUUUAGUGGCGGACGGGUGAGUAACGCGUGAGAAUUUGGCUUCAGGUCGGGGACAACAGUUGGAAACGACUGCUAAUACCGGAUGUGCCGGAAGGUGAAAGAUUUAUCGCCUGAAGAUAAGCUCGCGUCUGAUUAGCUAGUUGGUGGUGUAAGGGACUACCAAGGCGACGAUCAGUAGCUGGUCUGAGAGGAUGAUCAGCCACACUGGGACUGAGACACGGCCCAGACUCCUACGGGAGGCAGCAGUGGGGAAUUUUCCGCAAUGGGCGAAAGCCUGACGGAGCAAUACCGCGUGAGGGAGGAAGGCUCUUGGGUCGUAAACCUCUUUUCUCAAGGAAUAAGAAAGUGAAGGUACUUGAGGAAGAAGCAUCGGCUAACUCCGUGCCAGCAGCCGCGGUAAUACGGAGGAUGCAAGCCGUUUUAUUUUCCGGGAAUAUGGAAUUUGGGGCCCGUAAAACGGUCCGCCAGGUUGGAAUCUGAAAAGUUCUGGCUGUUAAAGAAUUCACGCUCAACCGUGAUCAAAGGCAGUGGAAACUACAGAACUGGAGUGCGGUCGGGGCAGAAGGAAUUCCUGGUGUAGCGGUGAAAUGCGUAGAGAUCAGGAAGAACACCGGUGGCGAAAGCGUUUCUGCUAGGGCCGUAACUGACACUGAGGGACGAAAGCUAGGGGAGCGAAUGGGAUUAGAUACCCCAGUAGUCCUAGCCGUAAACGAUGGAUACUAGGCGUGGCUUGUAUCGACCCGAGCCGUGCCGGGAGCUAACGCGUUAAGUAUCCCGCCCUGGGGAGUACGCACGCAAGUGUGGAAACUCAAAGGAAUUUGACGGGGGGGCACGCACAAGCGGUGGGAGUAUGUGGGUUUUAAUUUCGGAUUGCAAACGGCGAAAGAAACCCUUACCAAGAACUUUGACAUUGGGCGCGAAAUCCAUUCUUUGGAAUAAGGGGAAGAGAAGUGGUGCCCUUCGGGAGCGCGCACACAGGUGGUGCAUGGCUGUCGUCAGCUCGUGUCGUGAGAUGUUGGGUUAAGUCCCGCAACGAGCGCAACCCUCGUGUUUAGUUGCCAGCAUUAAGUUGGGCACUCUAGAGAGACUGCCGGUGACAAACCGGAGGAAGGUGAGGAUGACGUCAAGUCAGCAUGCCCCUUACGUUUUGGGCUACACACGUACUACAAUGCUACGGACAAAGGGCAGCUACACAGCGAUGUGAGGCAAAUCUCAUAAACCGUAGCUCAGUUCAGAUCGAAGGCUGCAACUCGCCUUCGUGAAGGAGGAAUCGCUAGUAAUUGCAGGUCAGCAUACUGCAGUGAAUUCGUUCCCGGGCCUUGUACACACCGCCCGUCACACCAUGGAAGUUGGUCACGCCCGAAGUCAGUACCCCAACCGUUGGAGGGGGAUGCCCGAAACGGUUGGAUUUGGGCCU
RNAcentral lists this ribosomal RNA (1463 nucleotides) under Sphaerospermopsis aphanizomenoides MBG-AL314. RNAcentral's name for it is "bacterial SSU rRNA". It matches the Rfam family "Bacterial small subunit ribosomal RNA". Lineage: Bacteria; Bacillati; Cyanobacteriota; Cyanophyceae; Nostocales; Aphanizomenonaceae. The record is from RNAcentral.